This 467-nucleotide ribosomal RNA is filed under the name uncultured bacterium. RNAcentral describes it as "partial 16S ribosomal RNA". It matches the Rfam family "Bacterial small subunit ribosomal RNA", at positions 28 to 507 of the family's 1533-position model. The record is from RNAcentral.
GACGAACGCUGGCGGCGUGCUUAACACAUGCAAGUCGAACGGAAAGGCUCCAGCUUGCUGGAGUACUCGAGUGGCGAACGGGUGAGUAACACGUGGGUAAUCUGCCCUGCACUCUGGGAUAAGCCUGGGAAACUGGGUCUAAUACUGGAUAUGACCUUUCUCCUUAUGGGGUUUGGUGGAAAGUUUUUCGGUGUAGGAUGAGCCCGCGGCCUAUCAGCUUGUUGGUGGGGUGAUGGCCUACCAAGGCGACGACGGGUAGCCGGCCUGAGAGGGUGAUCGGACACGUUGGGACUGAGAUACGGCCCAGACUCCUACGGGAGGCAGCAGUGGGGAAUAUUGCACAAUGGGCGGAAGCCUGAUGCAGCGACGCCGCGUGAGGGAUGACGUCCUUCGGGUUGUAAACCUCUUUCAGCAGGGACGAAGCGUAAGUGACGGUACCUGCAGAAGAAGCACCGGCUAACUAUGUG